This 289-nucleotide ribosomal RNA is filed under the name uncultured bacterium. RNAcentral describes it as "partial 16S ribosomal RNA". It matches the Rfam family "Bacterial small subunit ribosomal RNA", at positions 773 to 1060 of the family's 1533-position model. The record is from RNAcentral.
GUGGAUUAGAUACCCGAGUAGUCCACGCCCUAAACGAUGUCAACUAGCCGUUGGGUCCAUUGAAGGGCUUAGUGGCGCAGCUAACGCGAUAAGUUGACCGCCUGGGGAGUACGGCCGCAAGGUUAAAACUCAAAGGAAUUGACGGGGGCCCGCACAAGCGGUGGAGCAUGUGGUUUAAUUCGAUGCAACGCGAAGAACCUUACCAGGCCUUGACAUCCUCGGAACUUUCCAGAAAUGGAUUGGUGCCUUCGGGAACCGAGAGACAGGUGCUGCACGGUCGUCGACAGCU